AGUCUCGUAGCUCAGCUGGUUAGAGCGCUACACUGAUAAUGUAGAGGCCGGCAGUUCGAGUCUGCCCGAGACUA
RNAcentral lists this transfer RNA (74 nucleotides) under Flavobacteriales bacterium. Its description in RNAcentral is "tRNA-Ile". It matches the Rfam family "tRNA". From Rfam's summary of the family: Transfer RNA (tRNA) molecules are approximately 80 nucleotides in length. Their secondary structure includes four short double-helical elements and three loops (D, anti-codon, and T loops). Further hydrogen bonds mediate the characteristic L-shaped molecular structure. tRNAs have two regions of fundamental functional importance: the anti-codon, which is responsible for specific mRNA codon recognition, and the 3' end, to which the tRNAs corresponding amino acid is attached (by aminoacyl-tRNA synthetases). tRNAs cope with the degeneracy of the genetic code in two manners: having more than one tRNA (with a specific anti-codon) for a particular amino acid; and 'wobble' base-pairing, i.e. permitting non-standard base-pairing at the 3rd anti-codon position. The record is from RNAcentral. Lineage: Bacteria; Pseudomonadati; Bacteroidota; Flavobacteriia; Flavobacteriales.